CCAAACUUGGUCAUUUAGAGGAAGUAAAAGUCGUAACAAGGUUUCCGUAGAUGAACCUGCGGAAGGAUCAUUACUGAGUUAGGGUCUCCUAGGCCCGACCUCCAACCCUUUGUCUACCCUACUUUUUGUUGCUUCGGCGGGCCCGUCUUUAACUAGACCGCCGGAGGGGUUAUCCCCCUCUGGCCCGUUGUCCGCCGAUGGCCCUCCACAAAAACUCUUGAUGAAUUGUGUCGUCUGAGUAUAAUAUAAUAAAAUUAAAAACUUUCAACAACGGAUCUCUUGGUUCUGGCAUCGAUGAAGAACGCAGC
Molecule: unclassified non-coding RNA, 308 nt
Filed under: uncultured fungus
Lineage: Eukaryota; Fungi
Description: partial contains small subunit ribosomal RNA, internal transcribed spacer 1, and 5.8S ribosomal RNA
Rfam family: Eukaryotic small subunit ribosomal RNA (bases 1-73)
Source: RNAcentral